RNAcentral lists this ribosomal RNA (443 nucleotides) under uncultured bacterium. RNAcentral describes it as "partial 16S ribosomal RNA". It matches the Rfam family "Bacterial small subunit ribosomal RNA", at positions 338 to 795 of the family's 1533-position model. The record is from RNAcentral.
CCUACGGGAGGCAGCAGUGGGGGAUAUUGGACAAUGGGGGGAACCCUGAUCCAGCGACGCCGCGUGAGUGAAGAAGUAUUUCGGUAUGUAAAGCUCUGUCAGCAGGGAAGAAAGAAAUGACGGCACCUGACCAAGAAGCUCCGGCUAACUACGUGCCAGCAGCCGCGGAAAUACGUAGGGGGCAAGCGUUAUCCGGAAUUACUGGGUGUAAAGGGAGCGUAGACGGUUAAGUAAGUCUGGAGUGAAAGGCCGGGGCCCAACCCCGGGACUGCUCUGGAAACUAUUGAAAUUGAGUGCAGGAGAGGUAAGCGGAAUUCCUAGUGUAGCAGUGAAAUGCGUAGAUAUUAGGAGGAACACCAGUGGCGAAGGCGACUUACUGGACUGUAACUGACGUUGAGGCUCGAAAGCGUGGGGAGCAAACAGGAUUAGAUACCCGGGUAGUC